GUAACACGUGGGUAACCUGCCCUAAAGUGGGGAUAACAUCUGGAAACAGAUGCUAAUACCGCAUAAAACCUAACACCGCAUGGUCGUAGGGGUUGAAAGAUGGUUUCGGCUAUCACUUUAGGGAUGGACCCGCGGUGCAUUAGUUAGUUGGUGAGGUAAAGGCUCACCAAGACCGUGAUGCAUAGCCGACCUGAGAGGGUAAUCGGCCACACUGGGACUGAGACACGGCCCCAGACUCCUACGGGAGGCAGCAGUAGGGAAUCUUCCACAAUGGACGAAAGUCUGAUGGAGCAACGCCGCGUGAGUGAAGAAGGUUUCGGAUCGUAAACUCUGUUGUUGGAGAAGAAUGUAUCUGAUAGUAACUGAUCAGGUAGUGACGGUAUCCAACCAGAAAGCCACGGCUAACUACGUG
This 412-nucleotide ribosomal RNA is filed under the name uncultured bacterium. Its description in RNAcentral is "bacterial SSU rRNA". It matches the Rfam family "Bacterial small subunit ribosomal RNA", at positions 110 to 507 of the family's 1533-position model. The record is from RNAcentral.